GUGUCAGCAGCCGCGGUAAGACAGAGGGUGCAAACGUUGCUCGGAAUUACUGGGCGUAAAGCGCGUGUAGGCGGACUGAUAAGUCAGGUGUGAAAUCCCCAGGCUCAACCUGGGAACUGCACUUGAAACUGCCAGUCUUGAGUGAUGGAGAGGAUGGCGGAAUUCCUGGUGUAGAGGUGAAAUUCGUAGAUAUCAGGAGGAACACCGGUGGCGAAGGCGGCCAUCUGGAAAUCUACUGACGCUGAGACGCGAAAGCGUGGGGAGCAAACAGGAUUAGAAACCCUCGUAGUCC
This 292-nucleotide ribosomal RNA is filed under the name uncultured bacterium. Its description in RNAcentral is "partial 16S ribosomal RNA". It matches the Rfam family "Bacterial small subunit ribosomal RNA", at positions 505 to 796 of the family's 1533-position model. The record is from RNAcentral.